Non-coding RNA from Podarcis lilfordi (Lilford's wall lizard), 71 nucleotides. The record is from the annotation of a GenBank genome assembly. NCBI's taxonomy places the organism in Eukaryota, Metazoa, Chordata, Lepidosauria, Squamata, Lacertidae.
GAGAUAGCUUAGUUGGAAGAGCAUGAGACUCUUAAUCUCAAGGGUCAUGGGUUUGAGCCCAAUAUUGGACA